This 494-nucleotide ribosomal RNA is filed under the name uncultured bacterium. RNAcentral describes it as "bacterial SSU rRNA". It matches the Rfam family "Bacterial small subunit ribosomal RNA", at positions 29 to 514 of the family's 1533-position model. The record is from RNAcentral.
AACGAACGCUGGCGGCGCGCCUAAUACAUGCAAGUCGAGCGAGAAGACGUAGCAAUACGUUUGUAAAGCGGCGAACGGGUGAGGAAUACAUGGGUAACCUACCCUCGAGUGGGGAAUAACUAGCCGAAAGGUUAGCUAAUACCGCGUACGCUCCUUGGACUUCGGUUCAGGGAGGAAAGCGAUACCGUGGGUAUCGCGCUCUUGGAUGGGCUCAUGUCCUAUCAGCUUGUUGGUGAGGUAACGGCUCACCAAGGCUUCGACGGGUAGCUGGUCUGAGAGGACGAUCAGCCACACUGGCACUGCGACACGGGCCAGACUCCUACGGGAGGCAGCAGUAAGGAAUAUUGCGCAAUGGGCGAAAGCCUGACGCAGCGACGCCGCGUGGGGGAUGAAGGUCUUCGGAUUGUAAACCCCUUUCGGGUAGGGAAGGAUGGAACGAGCAAUCGUUCGGACGGUACCUCCAGAAGCAGCCACGGCUAACUUCGUGCCAGCCG